This 670-nucleotide long non-coding RNA is filed under the name Homo sapiens (human). Its description in RNAcentral is "HSALNT0299308". Lineage: Eukaryota; Metazoa; Chordata; Mammalia; Primates; Hominidae. The record is from RNAcentral.
GCCGUGCCUCCACACGGGCCCUCCCUGGCCACCACUGUUCGGGAUUCAGUUCUUGUUUCUGUUGUUACUCAGAGGGCAUAGAGGAGACCGGCAUACCCAGCGGCCAAAGGCAGGGCCCAGGCGGGGGUGAGCACAGGCUGGGACUCUAUUCCCUGGGGUGAUGGAAGACUGGCUCUUGAGCUGCAUCCUUGGUAGCUUUUCCUUCUUCAUCUCAUUGCCAGUGAGGACACUGAGGAGGAGAAGGAGGUGAGGAGGAGGAAAAAGAUGAGGAAAAGGAGAAAACCAACCACGAUCCACUGUCACCAAAUGAGCAUGCCAGGUUGCCAUGCUGCACAGCUCCAAGAAGCACCACUGUCCAUGUGGUCAACAUGGAUGGAUCCCUGAGGAGGUGUCCAGCAGCAGCCUGCAUGCCAUGCGUGGCUCUGAAGUCAAUAAUCCUGGAAAAAGGGUCAUUCCUUCCCAAUAAACGACAGUGGGCUAUCUCCCGCAGACACCCACGAAAUUUCCCUCCUUUUCCUUCCAUGGAGGACUGGUGAAAACGUCAUCAUGGACCUGACCUGCAUCUGGAGACCAUCCCUCAGAGGUGCUGCAGAGCUCCUUUCUGCCCAGGCAUUUACGGGCAGUCCCGACAUCAGGCACAGCAGCUGCACUUUUCCGAAGCCCCUUUGCG